Molecule: long non-coding RNA, 289 nt
Filed under: Lathyrus oleraceus (garden pea)
Lineage: Eukaryota; Viridiplantae; Streptophyta; Magnoliopsida; Fabales; Fabaceae
Description: Pisum sativum (pea) long non-coding RNA (PSAT_LNC038904)
Source: RNAcentral
AAAAUCUCAAACAAAUAGGAAAUGGCACAAUUAAUUCCAAGAAAAAAUCAGGUGCAAACUAGACACAUAAGAGAAGGUUCAUGCAAAAGUUGAGGUCAUUUGGAGGUCAAUAGGCAUGGAUACAAAAAUCAGAAAGUUGCACAAUCAUGGUGUGACACAAGUUGUCACACCCUACUUCAGAAAAUCACAACUCUCAAACCACAUAAGAUAAAAUCAAGAUCCUUACAUCAAAAUAAACAUGAAUGAGUUUAGAUUAAGCACAAAAAAUUUCAGAUCAAAUGGACAAUGC